Molecule: ribosomal RNA, 784 nt
Filed under: Salmonella enterica
Lineage: Bacteria; Pseudomonadati; Pseudomonadota; Gammaproteobacteria; Enterobacterales; Enterobacteriaceae
Also listed under: 1 other name
Description: partial 23S ribosomal RNA
Rfam family: Bacterial large subunit ribosomal RNA
Source: RNAcentral
CUCCACCCGAGACUCAGUGAAAUUGAACUCGCUGUGAAGAUGCAGUGUACCCGCGGCAAGACGGAAAGACCCCGUGAACCUUUACUAUAGCUUGACACUGAACAUUGAGCCUUGAUGUGUAGGAUAGGUGGGAGGCUUUGAAGUGUGGACGCCAGUCUGCAUGGAGCCGACCUUGAAAUACCACCCUUUAAUGUUUGAUGUUCUAACGUGGACCCGUAAUCCGGGUUGCGGACAGUGUCUGGUGGGUAGUUUGACUGGGGCGGUCUCCUCCUAAAGAGUAACGGAGGAGCACGAAGGUUGGCUAAUCCUGGUCGGACAUCAGGAGGUUAGUGCAAUGGCAUAAGCCAGCUUGACUGCGAGCGUGACGGCGCGAGCAGGUGCGAAAGCAGGUCAUAGUGAUCCGGUGGUUCUGAAUGGAAGGGCCAUCGCUCAACGGAUAAAAGGUACUCCGGGGAUAACAGGCUGAUACCGCCCAAGAGUUCAUAUCGACGGCGGUGUUUGGCACCUCGAUGUCGGCUCAUCACAUCCUGGGGCUGAAGUAGGUCCCAAGGGUAUGGCUGUUCGCCAUUUAAAGUGGUACGCGAGCUGGGUUUAGAACGUCGUGAGACAGUUCGGUCCCUAUCUGCCGUGGGCGCUGGAGAACUGAGGGGGGCUGCUCCUAGUACGAGAGGACCGGAGUGGACGCAUCACUGGUGUUCGGGUUGUCAUGCCAAUGGCACUGCCCGGUAGCUAAAUGCGGAAGAGAUAAGUGCUGAAAGCAUCUAAGCACGAAACUUGCCCCGAG